GGCUGUAGUUCAGUGGCAGAAUGCUUGCCUAGCAUGUGUGUGGUAUUGGGUUCAAUCCUCAGAACCA
Molecule: transfer RNA, 67 nt
Filed under: Marmota monax (woodchuck)
Lineage: Eukaryota; Metazoa; Chordata; Mammalia; Rodentia; Sciuridae
Description: tRNA.Ala
Source: RNAcentral